RNAcentral lists this non-coding RNA (96 nucleotides) under pig gut metagenome. RNAcentral describes it as "SAM riboswitch (S box leader)". It matches the Rfam family "SAM riboswitch aptamer (S box leader)". From Rfam's summary of the family: The SAM riboswitch is found upstream of a number of genes which code for proteins involved in methionine or cysteine biosynthesis in Gram-positive bacteria. The SAM riboswitch acts at the level of transcription termination control. The record is from RNAcentral.
CUUAUCAAGAGUGGUUGAGGGAACGGCCCUGUGAAACCCGGCAACCUGCCAAUGCGGCAAGGUGCCAAUUCCGUCGGCGACAUGCCGGAAGAUGAG